Molecule: RNA transcript, 6034 nt
Organism: Penaeus indicus
Lineage: Eukaryota; Metazoa; Arthropoda; Malacostraca; Decapoda; Penaeidae
Exons: 2
Source: RefSeq, a predicted model, not a curated record
UAGAUGAGUAUACCCUUAUAUCGUUUUCUAAGGUGUACGACAUCUAUAGGGCAUUUGCAUAACUAAUCAUCAUAAACAUUGGGAGCCAUUUUGUUACUCAGAGAAGCCAAGUGAGGUGUCUGAGGUAAUAUAUCUGCUUAUAUCUUUGUAAUCUUGUGAUAUAUUUUUAUAUUAGUAUAAGUAAAUGAUCUAUUGUUAUAUAAAGACCUAAUUGAAGGAGAAUGUAAUAUGAAUAUUGAGCUAUAUUGUGUGAAAUAAGAGUUUUAUGUCAAGCAUGUAUUAGUGGAAGAUUUGUUCAUUUCAGUUUAACGGAGAUAAUUGGGAAAUAAUUGGACUAGAAAUGGAUGGUAAUGAAUUGCAUGUAAAAAGAAGAAUUCAAGAUGUAUCGAAGAUGCAAUAAAGUACCACAAAAAGAUCCCAAGCGUUUCCAGUGAAACCCACCGGUUCUUGGCUCUCUGCAACAGUUAAACUCAGUUAAACUCAUACACCUGUAUGAAGUUGAGAAGAGUUAGAUUUACUGAGCUGAGUUAAACUCAUCCUCAUGAGUUCAGGUAAACUCAUACACCUGUAUGCAGUUGAAAUUAGUUGGGUUCAGUUAAACUCAGCCCACAACAGAUGGAUACACUGAGUUACAGUUAAACUCAUCGCAUCAGUUAAACUCAAGACCUUCUGCAUGCAGUUAAACAUGCAAAAGUAAAAGAUCAGUCCAGAACUACAGUUAAACUCACAUCCUCAUGAGUUCAGAUUCAAGACCUCCUGUAAGCAGCAGUUACAUACUUCAGUGGGGAUGCUCGUGAGAGGAUUCACAUCUAUCAACCCAUCUUGCAAGAUAAUUCAAGGUCAAGAAGGAUAGAAGAACGGUGUGAAUGUUCGUGGGAAUCCAAAGGCAAGAGGAUAACCUAUAAAUUACUGGAAGAUUUCUGCUCUUUAAAGAAGCUCUUCAUUUCUACAGGUCCCAAAGGCUAGUGAACUUUUAACUAAUAGGUAUAGAUUGUGUGUUUUAAGUUCCAUAUAGGUCAGUAGACAAAUAGUAGUUGUAAUAAUGAGUGCUACUGAAGAAGCUGUAGGUGACCAACCUCAGGUAACUGGGGCCAGUGAGGUAAUGAAAGGUGCUAGGAAAAAGGUUUUAACAGAAAAAGGGCGUGAGUAUCAAAUAACACAGUAUAUAAAGAGGUUAUCAUCUGCUAAGCUAGCAUGGAAAAAGGUAUUAUCAGAGAUAUUACCAAGUCUUGAUAGUGUAGUAUGCUUGGAUCAACUUAAUGUUCAUAGAAAGGCAGAAGAGUCACAGUUUAAAGAAGUUGUAAAUGCCUUUAACUUGUUAAUGGAAGUAGAUCCAAGUUCUGAGGAUGAAUUGUUACAAGAGUUAAAGUUUGAGACUGAGGAGCACAAUAAUUGUAUGCAAAAAAUUGAGAGUAAAAUGCAUGAGUUAAAACAAGAAACAAAUUCAGUAAAUUCACAACAAAGUAGAUCAUCAAAGCACUCCCAUUCAACAAAGAGAUCUAUGCAUAAUGUUACACAGAAUGAAAGAAUACAAGCAGAAUUAGCUAAGCUACAAAUUGAGCUUCAGCUUCAUAAAAAGGAAACAGAGUAUAAGAUGUUCGUGAUAAAUCAACAGAGGAUCAUGAAAGAAAAAGAAUAUGAGUACAAAAAGUUUCUUUUUAUGAGAAAUAGGUUUCCAUCUCAAAAAGAAGUAGAGAAAGCCAGUCUAGAAGAAAAUCAGCUAGAAUUGUCUCAAAGUAAAGAUCUAGAUGAUAGUAAAGAACUUCAUCUUCACAAAUAUUUUGAAUCUAUUGAUAAAUUGACAGAGGUUGAGAAAGUAAAUCCUACUUUACCAAAACAAGAAACAGCUGCUAAUGAUGUAUCAGGUAUGGGUGAAUUAGAGAUAGAGGUGUCUAAAUUAGAGAAUACCUUCUUAAAAGCAAGUCCAGAGCUUAAGCUACAAACAAAGAGUUUUGAGCCAAAAAGAGAGUUUCAAGAUUUGAAUGCAUCAUUUGGGCAAGGUAGAUCAAGUCAACCUAUAGACCUUAAUGUACUCAAAGAUGUAUUAAAUAUUUUAUCAUCUAAAAGUAAAAGUGAAUUGCCUAAACUAGAACCAGAAAUUUUCAGUGGAGAUUUAUUGGAGUUUCCAACCUGGCUUCAAACCUUUGAGAUUUUUAUAGAAUCAAGAGUUACAGAACCUGCAGAGAAACUUUUCUAUCUAGGUCACUAUACAAGUGGGGAAGCUAAGGCUGCCAUUAAAGGACUUCUUCGUAUCCCCAAAGAAGAAGCUUAUCUUGAGGCUAAAGGUAUAUUAAUGGAUAGGUUUGGAAAUAAGUUUAUUGUGGCAAAUGCUUUUAGAAGUAAAUUAAAUGAAUGGCCAAAGAUUUCAAAUAAGGAUGGUCAUGCACUACAGGAAUUGUCAGACUUCUUAAAGAAUUGCUUAACAGUAAUGAGAACAACAGACUACCUUAAUAUUUUAAAUGAUCCUCAAGAAAAUGGUAAAAUGUUACAGAAGUUAUACCCAGCUCUUAUAGAUAGAUGGAAUUCUGUAGUUUACAAAUGGUCCUCAAGUGAUGCAGGUUACCCUCCAUUUUCAGUUUUUUGUGAAUUUAUAGAAGUGGAGGCAAAGAAAGCUCGCCAUCCAAUCUCAUCACAAAAUGCAGUAAUGACAAGGAAUCAGAGUCAUAAUAUCAAUGUUUCAAUGAGUAGUAAGAAGGGUAAACCAGAAUUAAACAAGUCUGGGACAAAAAGGUUUGUGACUAACUCAACAGGUGUAAAAGAAACAAAGGUACAUAGAGAUGACAGGGGACAAAGUCCAGACAAACCAUAUUGUAAUUUUUGCAAGGCUGAUCAUGAACUUGAUAAAUGUAAAGGGUUUAAUGGACUUGAUAAUAAGGCAAAAUUUGAAUAUGUCCAAAAAUCAUUUCUUUGUAGGGGUUGUUUAAAACAUGGCCAUAUUGUUAAAAACUGCAAAAGAAAGAAUAUAUGCACAGUAUGUAAGAGACGUCAUCCAACAUCUCUUCAUGAGGCUAUACUUGAAAGAAUAAAAGAAAGGGAAGCCUUACUCAAAAUGUAUAAGGAACAAGAGGCUGGAAAUACAGUAACAUUGUCAAAUGAAACUAAUAUAAAUGAAGACAAGGUAAACUCCAGGAAAGUUAAUGAGGAACUCAAAGAUUGUGCAGUUUCCAAUAAAAUAAAGAUAUUGAGAAAAUCAGAGGAUAUGAUGCAUUCCAUGAUAGUACCAGUAUGGAUACAUCAUGAAAGUAACAUACGUAAAAAGGUAUUGGUUUAUGCAUUAUUGGAUGAACAGUCAGAUGCAUGUUUUAUUAAAGAAUCCACCAUGAAUGAGCUAAACAUUCUAGGCUCCAAGGUACACCUAAAGUUAACAACAGUGACAGGCGAAGAAACAAUUGAAAGUACAAAGACUAGAGGACUAAUAGUAUGUGGUAAAAAUGAAAAGAUAGAGAUUGCACUUCCAGUCACUUAUUCAAGGAAGAAUAUACCAGCCAGACAUGAUCAAAUUCCAAGGCCAGAAAGUGUAGAAGGGUGGCCUCAUUUACAGAGAGUAGCAAACGAAUUGAUGCCAUACGAUAGAAGUGUUGAAGUUGGGCUCCUGAUUGGCUUAAAUUGUAUCCGUGCCAUCAAACCAAGAGAGUUAAUUCCUGGGAAAGAUGACGAGCCUUAUGCAAGGAGAACUUUGCUUGGUUGGAGUAUAAUAGGGAGAGUCAAUGGUGAUUGUCAAGACACAAGUGACUCAGAUUCAGUUCUAGCUAGCAAAGUAAUAGUCAAUAAGGUUAUCAUUAAUGGUGACACAAAAUGUAGCUUUCUUUCCUCACCAACUAAAGUAAAGGAAAUAAUUGAUUUUGCACAAGUUCGAAAAUUGUUUGAGCUUGAUUUCAGUGAAAGGGAGACAGGAAAUGUUCCUUUUUCGUAUCAAGACAAGAUUUUCUUAAGAAAAAUGAAAGAUGGAAUUCAUCAACUAAAAGAUGGGCAUUAUGAAUUGCCACUCCCUCUUAAAGAUGAUAAGGUCAAGUUUCCAAAUAGUAAAGAAUUAGCAAUGUGUAGGUUGAUGAGUCUAAAGAGGAAGCUAAAGCAAAAGAAUGGUUUUCUACAGGACUAUGUUGCCUUUAUGAAAGAUCUCAUAGACAAAGGCUAUGCAGAAGAGGCACCAUACCAGGGUCCAAAUUUCAAUGAUGGAAGAGUAUGGUAUAUACCACAUCAUGGUGUGUAUCAUCCAAAGAAACCUGACAAAAUUAGGGUAGUAUUCGAUUGCAGUGCUGUGUAUAAGAAUGAAUCACUUAAUAAGAAUCUUUUACAAGGUCCGGAUCUGACAAAUAACUUGAUUGGCGUAUUGUGCAGAUUCAGAAAGGAACAUGUAGCAAUUGCAUGUGAUAUAGAAGCAAUGUUCCACCAAGUAAAGGUAAAGCCUGAUCACAGAGACCUACUACGCUUUCUGUGGUGGGAAAAUGGAAAUCCUGAUUCAGUUGUCAAAGAAUAUAGAAUGACAGUGCACUUAUUUGGGGCUACAUCUUCUCCAAGUGUAGCAAGUUUUGCACUGAAAGCCACUGCUGAUGAUUAUGCAUGGCAAUGUGGUACAGAAGCCGCCUCCUUUGUUAAAAAUGAAUUUUAUGUAGAUGAUGGGUUAACAUCUUUACCUACAACUGCAGAAGCCAUAGCUUUAAUCAGGAAUAGUAAAGCAUUAUGUUCGAAGGGUGGCUUCAAAUUGCACAAGUUCUUGUCAAAUAAGAAAGAAGUUCUAGAAGCAAUAAGUUUAGAGGAAAAGGCUAAAAGUUUAAAGAACUUAGAUCUCUCUAGUGAAGCCUUACCAAUAGAGAGAACUUUAGGAGUAGAAUGGUGUAUAGAAUCAGAUACAUUCCAGUUCAGAAUUAGUAUUAAUGACAAACCAAUAACUAGAAGAGGUAUAUUGUCAACGGUGAGUUCUGUUUUCGAUCCAAUGGGUAUGGUCUCACCCUUUAUAUUGAUUGGUAAAAGAAUACUUCAAACCUUGUGUCAAGAUGGAGUAGACUGGGAUGAUGACAUAUCAGAUAAUUUGAAACAACAAUGGAGAAGAUGGAGAGAUGAUCUGAUUCAGUUGAAAGAGUUAAAGAUUCCUAGAUGCUACAAGCCUGAUGUGUUUAGAAAGGUCAAAUCAUUGGAACUGCAUCAUUUCUCUGAUGCUAGUCAGCAUGGUUAUGGACAGUGCUCUUAUUUAAGGCAAGUAAGUGAGCAGGGACAAGUUCAUUGUGCACUUGUCAUGUCAAAGUCUAGAGUGACACCAUUGAAGCCCAUAACUGUUCCUAGGUUAGAACUAACAGCUGCAGUCGUAGCUGUUCGAAUUAGCUCUAUGCUAAGGAAGGAGUUAGGUUAUCAGGAACUAAAAGAAUACUUUUGGACCGAUAGCAAAGUCAUACUUGGUUACAUUUCAAACGAAGCUAAGAGAUUCCAUGUGUUUGUUGCUAACCGAGUGCAGCAUAUUAAAGACCAUUCCUCUAUGGAACAAUGGAAAUUUGUUGAGUCAGUUCAAAUCCUGUUGAUUCCACUUCACGUUGAUCCUGUAUGUAAAGAACCUGAUUGAAUUAUAGUGGAAGUGGGGUGUCCCCGCCAAAGAGCCUAUUCAAAUAUCAAAAUUGUAUUGUUCCUCAGUAGUAUAGAUGUUGAUUCCACAUUUUGCUCAUAUAAGUACAAUGUAAUUAGAGUUUAAGGUAAAUUGUUCAUACAAUUUAGGGGAGCCAUGUUACUGCAGGGACAAAAUGUAUACUUAGUUAUAAACAAUCAGUUCCUAUGCUUUGUGAUAUUACUAACAUUAGGUUAAGUAUGAAAUAGAUGAGUAUACCCUUAUAUCGUUUUCUAAGGUGUACGACAUCUAUAGGGCAUUUGCAUAACUAAUCAUCAUAAACAUUGGGAGCCAUUUUGUUACUCAGAGAAGCCAAGUGAGGUGUCUGAGUUUAACGGAGAUAAUUGGGAAAUAAUUGGACUAGAAAUGGAUGGUAAUGAAUUGCAUGUAAAAAGAAGAAUUCAAGAUGUAUCGAAGAUGCAAUAAAGUACCACAAAAAGA